UACGUAGGGGGCAAGCGUUGUCCGGAAUCAUUGGGCGUAAAGCGCGUGUAGGCGGCCAGAAAAGUCCGCUGUGAAAACUCGAGGCUCAACUUCGAGCUGUCGGUGGAAACUUUCUGGCUAGAGUCCGGAAGAGGCGAGUGGAAUUCCCGGUGUAGCGGUGAAAUGCGCAGAUAUCGGGAGGAACACCAAUGGCGAAGGCAGCUCGCUGGGACGUUACUGACGCUGAGACGCGAAAGCGUGGGGAGCAAACAGG
This 253-nucleotide ribosomal RNA is filed under the name uncultured bacterium. RNAcentral describes it as "partial 16S ribosomal RNA". It matches the Rfam family "Bacterial small subunit ribosomal RNA", at positions 524 to 776 of the family's 1533-position model. The record is from RNAcentral.